Molecule: long non-coding RNA, 530 nt
Filed under: Olea europaea (common olive)
Lineage: Eukaryota; Viridiplantae; Streptophyta; Magnoliopsida; Lamiales; Oleaceae
Description: long non-coding RNA (OEUR_LNC000224)
Source: RNAcentral
CUGUUGUGUCUACUAAUAGACUUGCUUAGAGUUUCAUAUUGUAUGUUGUUAACAAUAUAAGUUCCCUGAAGGUAUUUAAUUUUAAUGGCAUAGUGCACCCACAAACACAUGAUACACACGUGAGCCGCAUCCAUAUAGAAUAUUGUGUACCUUGCCAGCAACUUAGGCGUUUACUCAUGUUCUGUUUCUUAAAGCCUCUAUUUAUAAUUGUGUAUGAGGCAUGGCUUAAUAGAACCAGCAAGAACUCAUGUAAAUCCAGGUUUAAAUUUAUUCUGUACUCGCAUUGACAUUUUUCUCGAUUCAUUAACUGUGCAGAUUAUAUAAAGUCUAUUAUCAAACUGGGCUUCUUCUUUUUUUUACUGAACGCGUAAAAAAAGUUGUGCAGAAGGCUUGGGAGGUUGAAAUUCUCGAUUGUUUGCUAUUUUAGAACACAUGCUGUAUGCAUUAAGAUUCUAGAAAUGGCAAGGGGAAUGUGAAAUGAAUGUUGCAUGAGAAUGAUGUGGGCUGAAGGCCAUUUUGUAUUCUCUUGC